GUCUACGGCCAUGCCACCCUGAACAGGCCUGAUCCCGUCUGAUCUCAGAAGCUAAGCAGGGUCAGACCUGGUUAGUAUUUGGAUGGGAGACCACCUAGGAAAACUAGGCGUAAAAAAUA
Molecule: ribosomal RNA, 119 nt
Filed under: Pteropus alecto (black flying fox)
Lineage: Eukaryota; Metazoa; Chordata; Mammalia; Chiroptera; Pteropodidae
Source: RNAcentral